This 492-nucleotide ribosomal RNA is filed under the name uncultured bacterium. RNAcentral describes it as "partial 16S ribosomal RNA". It matches the Rfam family "Bacterial small subunit ribosomal RNA", at positions 29 to 507 of the family's 1533-position model. The record is from RNAcentral.
AGUGAACGCUGGCGGUAGGCCUAACACAUGCAAGUCGAACGGCAGCACAGUAAGAGCUUGCUCUUACGGGUGGCGAGUGGCGGACGGGUGAGGAAUACAUCGGUAUCUACUUUUUCGUGGGGGAUAACGUAGGGAAACUUACGCUAAUACCGCAUACGACCUACGGGUGAAAGCAGGGGAUCUUCCGACCUUGCGUGAUUGUAUGUGCCGAUGUCGGAUUAGCUAGUUGGCGGGGUAAAGGCCCACCAAGGCGACGAUCCGUAGCUGGUCUGAGAGGAUGAUCAGCCACACUGGAACUGAGACACGGUCCAGACUCCUACGGGAGGCAGCAGUGGGGAAUAUUGGACAAUGGGCGCAAGCCUGAUCCAGCCAUACCGCGUGGGUGAAGAAGGCCUUCGGGUUGCAAAGCACUUUUGUUGGGAAAGAAAAGCAGCAGGUUAAUACCCCGCUGUUCUGACGGUACCCAAAGAAUAAGCACCGGCUAACUUCGUG